Molecule: ribosomal RNA, 487 nt
Filed under: uncultured bacterium
Lineage: Bacteria
Description: partial 16S ribosomal RNA
Rfam family: Bacterial small subunit ribosomal RNA
Source: RNAcentral
GAUGAACGCUGGCGGCGUGCCUAAUACAUGCAAGUCGAGCGGCAGCACGGUCUUCGGACUGGUGGCGAGCGGCGGACGGCAGAGUAACGCGUAGGAAUGUACCCCAAAGUGAGGAAUAACUGCCCGAAAGAGUAGCUAAUGCCGCAUGUGCCCUUCGGAGUAAAGCAUGAUGCGCUUUGGGAACAGCCUGCGUUCCAUUAGCUUGUUGGUGAGGUAAAGGGUCACCAAGGCGACGAUGGAAAGCUGGUCUGAGAGGAUGAUCAGCCUGACUGGGACUGAGACACGGCCCAGACUCCUACGGGAGGCAGCAGUGGGGAAUUUUCCACAAUGGGCGAAAGCCUGAUGGAGCAACGCCGCGUGUGUGAAGAAGGCCUUCGGGUUGUAAAGCACUUUUGGCCGGAAAGAAAUGGCUCUGGUUAAUACCUGGGGUCGACGACGGUACCGGAAGAAUAAGGACCGGCUAACCACGUGCCAGCCGCCGCCGUAA